Molecule: ribosomal RNA, 468 nt
Filed under: uncultured bacterium
Lineage: Bacteria
Description: partial 16S ribosomal RNA
Rfam family: Bacterial small subunit ribosomal RNA
Source: RNAcentral
GACGAACGCUGGCGGCGUGCUUAACACAUGCAAGUCGAACGGAAAGGCCCUGCUUUUGUAGGGUGCUCGAGUGGCGAACGGGUGAGUAACACGUGAGUAACCUGCCCUUGACUUUGGGAUAACUUCAGGAAACUGGGGCUAAUACCGGAUAGGAGCUCCUGCUGCAUGGUGGGGGUUGGAAAGUUUCGGCGGUUGGGGAUGGACUCGCGGCUUAUCAGCUUGUUGGUGGGGUAGUGGCUUACCAAGGCUUUGACGGGUAGCCGGCCUGAGAGGGUGACCGGCCACAUUGGGACUGAGAUACGGCCCAGACUCCUACGGGAGGCAGCAGUGGGGAAUAUUGCACAAUGGGCGGAAGCCUGAUGCAGCAACGCCGCGUGCGGGAUGACGGCCUUCGGGUUGUAAACCGCCUUCGCCUGUGACGAAGCGUGAGUGACGGUAAUGGGUAAAGAAGCACCGGCUAACUACGUG